AAGAGUCUAAUGAGGUGCA
This 19-nucleotide unclassified non-coding RNA is filed under the name Mus musculus (house mouse). RNAcentral's name for it is "oocyte_clustered_small_RNA7396". The record is from RNAcentral. Lineage: Eukaryota; Metazoa; Chordata; Mammalia; Rodentia; Muridae.